RNAcentral lists this ribosomal RNA (253 nucleotides) under uncultured prokaryote. RNAcentral's name for it is "partial 16S ribosomal RNA". It matches the Rfam family "Bacterial small subunit ribosomal RNA", at positions 524 to 776 of the family's 1533-position model. The record is from RNAcentral.
CACGUAGGAUCCGAGCGUUAUCCGGAUUUACUGGGCGUAAAGCGCGUGUAGGUGGUCUGUUAAGUUGGAUGUUAAAUCUCUCGGCUUAACUGGGAGAUGUCGUUCAAAACUGGCAGACUGGAGGACGGUAGAGGAAGGUGGAAUUCCGGGUGUAGUGGUGAAAUGCGUAGAUAUCCGGAGGAACAUCAGUGGCGAAGGCGGCCUUCUGGACCGCUCCUGACACUCCAACGCGAAAGCGUGGGGAGCAAACAGG